Molecule: ribosomal RNA, 305 nt
Filed under: uncultured bacterium
Lineage: Bacteria
Description: bacterial SSU rRNA
Rfam family: Bacterial small subunit ribosomal RNA
Source: RNAcentral
CCUACGGGGCGCAGCAGUGAGGAAUAUUGGUCAAUGGUCGGGAGACUGAACCAGCCAAGCCGCGUGAGGGAGGAAGGUACAGAGUAUCGUAAACCUCUUUUGUCAGGGAACAAAGACUGGGACGCGUCCCCGGAUGAGUGUACCUGAAGAAAAAGCAUCGGCUAACUCCGUGCCAGCAGCCGCGGUAAUACGGAGGAUGCGAGCGUUAUCCGGAUUUAUUGGGUUUAAAGGGUGCGCAGGCGGAGGUGCAAGUCAGCGGUCAAAUUGCGGGGCUCAACCCCGAACUGCCGUUGAAACUGCAUCCC